RNAcentral lists this ribosomal RNA (704 nucleotides) under uncultured Alphaproteobacteria bacterium. RNAcentral describes it as "bacterial SSU rRNA". It matches the Rfam family "Bacterial small subunit ribosomal RNA", at positions 28 to 776 of the family's 1533-position model. The record is from RNAcentral. Lineage: Bacteria; Pseudomonadati; Pseudomonadota; Alphaproteobacteria.
AGCGAACGCUGGCGGCAGGCUUAACACAUGCAAGUCGAACGGGCUUCUUCGGAAGUCAGUGGCAGACGGGUGAGUAACACGUGGGAACGUGCCCUUCGGUUCGGAAUAACUCAGGGAAACUUGAGCUAAUACCGGAUGCGCCCUUAUGGGGAAAGGUUUACUGCCGAAGGAUCGGCCCGCGUCUGAUUAGCUUGUUGGUGGGGUAACGGCCUACCAAGGCGACGAUCAGUAGCUGGUCUGAGAGGAUGAUCAGCCACACUGGGACUGAGACACGGCCCAGACUCCUACGGGAGGCAGCAGUGGGGAAUAUUGGACAAUGGGCGCAAGCCUGAUCCAGCCAUGCCGCGUGAGUGAUGAAGGCCUUAGGGUUGUAAAGCUCUUUUGUCCGGGACGAUAAUGACGGUACCGGAAGAAUAAGCCCCGGCUAACUUCGUGCCAGCAGCCGCGGUAAUACGAGGGGGGCUAGCGUUGCUCGGAAUCACUGGGCGUAAAGGGCGCGUAGGCGGCCGAUUAAGUCGGGGGUGAAAGCCUGUGGCUCAGCCACAGAAUUGCCUUCGAUACUGGUUGGCUUGAGACCGGAAGAGGACAGCGGAACUGCGAGUGUAGAGGUGAAAUUCGUAGAUAUUCGCAAGAACACCAGUGGCGAAGGCGGCUGUCUGGUCCGGUUCUGACGCUGAGGCGCGAAAGCGUGGGGAGCAAACAGG